UACGAAGGGGGCUAGCGUUGUUCGGAAUUACUGGGCGUAAAGCGCGCGCAGGCGGCUAUCCAAGUCAGUGGUGAAAGCCCGGAGCUCAACUCCGGAACUGCCAUUGAAACUGUUUAGCUUGAGGAUGAGAGAGGUGAGUGGAAUUCCCAGUGUAGAGGUGAAAUUCGUAGAUAUUGGUAGGAACACCAGUGGCGAAGGCGGUCUUCUGGAGCACUCUUGACGCUGAGGCGCGAAAGCUGGGGGAGCGAACGGG
This 253-nucleotide ribosomal RNA is filed under the name uncultured bacterium. RNAcentral describes it as "partial 16S ribosomal RNA". It matches the Rfam family "Bacterial small subunit ribosomal RNA", at positions 524 to 776 of the family's 1533-position model. The record is from RNAcentral.